GAUGAACGCUGGCGGCGUGCCUAAUACAUGCAAGUCGAACGCACAGCGAAAGGUGCUUGCACCUUUCAAGUGAGUGGCGAACGGGUGAGUAACACGUGGACAACCUGUCUCAAGGCUGGGGAUAACAUUUGGAAACAGAUGCUAAUACCGAAUAAAACUCAGUGUCGCAUGACACAAAGUUAAAAGGCGCUUUGGCGUCACCUAGCGAUGGAUCCGCGGUGCAUGAGUUAGUUGGUGGGGUAAAGGCCUACCAAGACAAUGAUGCAUAGCCGAGUUGAGAGACUGAUCGGCCACAUUGGGACUGAGACACGGCCCACACUCCUACGGGAGGCUGCAGUAGGGAAUCUUCCACAAUGGGCGAAAGCCUGAUGGAGCAACGCCGCGUGUGUGAUGAAGGCUUUCGGGUCGUAAAGCACUGUUGUAUGGGAAGAACAGCUAGAAUAGGGAAUGAUUUUAGUUUGACGGUACCAUACCAGAAAGGGACGGCUAAAUACGUGCCAGCAGCCGCGGUAA
Molecule: ribosomal RNA, 513 nt
Filed under: uncultured bacterium
Lineage: Bacteria
Description: partial 16S ribosomal RNA
Rfam family: Bacterial small subunit ribosomal RNA
Source: RNAcentral